GUGUUCGCUUCAGCAACACGUAUACUAAAAUUGGAAUGAUACAAAGAAGAUUAGCAUAGCCCCUGCAUAAUGAUGAAAUGAAAAUUGUGAAAUGAAAAUUCUAUAUUU
This is a small nuclear RNA of Myodes glareolus (Bank vole), 108 nucleotides long. The record is from RefSeq and is a predicted model, not a curated record. Lineage: Eukaryota; Metazoa; Chordata; Mammalia; Rodentia; Cricetidae.